AUUGAACGCUAGCGGCAUGCCUUACACAUGCAAGUCGAACGGCAGCACGGGGCAACCUGGUGGCGAGUGGCGAACGGGUGAGUAAUGUAUCGGAACGUGCCCAGUAGCGGGGGAUAACUACGCGAAAGCGUAGCUAAUACCGCAUACGCCCUACGGGGGAAAGGGGGGGAUCGCAAGACCUCUCACUAUUGGAGCGGCCGAUAUCGGAUUAGCUAGUUGGUGAGGUAAAGGCUCACCAAGGCUUCGAUCCGUAGCUGGCUUGAGAGGACGACCAGCCACACUGGGACUGAGACACGGCCCAGACUCCUACGGGAGGCUGCAGUGGGGAAUUUUGGACAAUGGGGGCAACCCUGAUCCAGCAAUGCCGCGUGUGCGAAGAAGGCCUUCGGGUUGUAAAGCACUUUUGGCGGGAACGAAACGGUGCCGGAUAAUACCUGGCGCCACUGACGGUACCCGCAGAAUAAGCACCGGCUAACUACGUG
This 482-nucleotide ribosomal RNA is filed under the name uncultured bacterium. Its description in RNAcentral is "partial 16S ribosomal RNA". It matches the Rfam family "Bacterial small subunit ribosomal RNA", at positions 29 to 507 of the family's 1533-position model. The record is from RNAcentral.